This 460-nucleotide ribosomal RNA is filed under the name uncultured bacterium. Its description in RNAcentral is "partial 16S ribosomal RNA". It matches the Rfam family "Bacterial small subunit ribosomal RNA", at positions 338 to 795 of the family's 1533-position model. The record is from RNAcentral.
CCUACGGGAGGCAGCAGUGAGGAAUAUUGGUCAAUGGACGAGAGUCUGAACCAGCCAAGUCGCGUGAAGGAUGACUGCCCUAUGGGUUGUAAACUUCUUUUAUCUGGGAAUAAAAUGUUCCACGUGUGGGAUUUUGUAUGUACCAUAUGAAUAAGCAUCGGCUAACUCCGUGCCAGCAGCCGCGGUAAUACGGAGGAUCCGAGCGUUAUCCGGGUUUGUUGGGGUUAAAGGGGGCGCAGGGGGGUUGUUAAGUCAGUUGUGAAAGUUCGGGGCGCAACCGUAAGAUUGCCGUUGAAACUGGCAGUCUUGAGUAGGGGAGAGGUGGGCGGAAGGCGUGGUGUAGCGGUGAAAUGCUUAGAGAUCACGAAGAACUCCGAUUGCGAAGGCAGCUGACUGGAGUGCAACUGACGCUGAGGCACGAAAGUGUGGGUAUCGAACAGGAUUAGAUACCCCAGAAGUC